Coregonus clupeaformis (lake whitefish) is the source of this 359-nucleotide long non-coding RNA. RefSeq lists it as uncharacterized. The record is from RefSeq and is a predicted model, not a curated record. The transcript has 4 exons. Lineage: Eukaryota; Metazoa; Chordata; Actinopteri; Salmoniformes; Salmonidae.
GACAGAAGUGUACCUGCUGUUCUUCCAAGCCACCGUACCAACUUUCACUUCUUUCAACUUGCUGCUUCAGAGAGAGCAGUCAUCAAUAUUUUUGUUACAUGAUGAGAUGGUGAAAUUCGUACGCAAGCUAUGUUCCAAGUUUAUGGUUCCAGCAGCUCUGCAGUGCCAUGAGGAGCCUUGUGAAAUUGCCUUUAAAGAAAAGGCAAACCAUUUACCAGUGCUGUGGACUAUGCACUUAAGAAGCUGCCACUGGAAGAGCCACUGAUCAAGCACGCACAAUUUGUAGAUGUACGGCAGAGGGCUGAAAGUGACAUCGAAGAUGUCCUGUACUUUGUUGAAAGGUUUCCCCAUCUCCUCCC